UUAACUAUUCGGAAUGAUGCGGGCUGGAUCUCUCGGGGUUACAGCCUUGCUGAAUUAUUCACCCUUGUCUUUUGCGUACUUCUUGUUUCCUUGGUGGGUUCGCCCACCACUAGGACAAACAUAAACCUUUUGUAAUUGCAAUCAGCGUCAGUAACAAAUUAAUAAUUACAACUUUCAACAACGGAUCUCUUGGUUCUGGCAUCGAUGAAGAACGCAGCGAAAUGCGAUAAGUAGUGUGAAUUGCAGAAUUCAGUGAAUCAUCGAAUCUUUGAACGCACAUUGCGCCCUUUGGUAUUCCAAAGGGCAUGCCUGUUCGAGCGUCAUUUGUACCCUCAAGCUUUGCUUGGUGUUGGGCGUCUUGUCUCUAGCUUUGCUGGAGACUCGCCUUAAAGUAAUUGGCAGCCGGCCUACUGGUUUCGGAGCGCAGCACAAGUCGCACUCUCUAUCAGCAAAGGUCUAGCAUCCAUUAAGCCUUUUUUCAACUUUUGACCUCGGAUCAGGUAGGGAUACCCGCUGAACUUAAGCAUAUCAAAAGCGGGAAAGGAA
RNAcentral lists this ribosomal RNA (546 nucleotides) under Alternaria porri. Its description in RNAcentral is "eukaryotic LSU rRNA". The stretch from base 170 to 323 matches the Rfam family "5.8S ribosomal RNA". The record is from RNAcentral. Lineage: Eukaryota; Fungi; Ascomycota; Dothideomycetes; Pleosporales; Pleosporaceae.